GACGAACGCUGGCGGCGUGCUUAACACAUGCAAGUCGAACGAAAAGGCCCUGCUUUUGUGGUGGGCUCGAUUGGCGAACAGGUGAGUAACACGUGAGGAACCUCCCCUUGACUUUGGGAUAACUUCAGGGAACUGGGGCUAAUACCGGAUAGGAGCUCCUGCUGCAUGGUGGGGGUUGGAAAGUUUCGGCGGUUGGUGAUGGACUCGCGGGUUAUCGGCUUGUUUGUGGGGUAGUGGGUUACCAAGGCUUUGACGGGUAGGCGGCCUGAGAGGGUGACCGGCCACAAUGGGACUGAGGUACGGCCCAGAAUGCAACGGGCGGCAGCAGUCGGAAGUCUUACAGAACGGGCCGACGUGAGAUGAAGCAGCGUCGGGUGCGUGAUGCCGGCUUGUGGGUUGAAAACAGGUUUCGCAUGUGCCGAAGCGUGCGUGACGGUAAUGGGUCAAGAAGCAACGGCUAACUACGUG
RNAcentral lists this ribosomal RNA (468 nucleotides) under uncultured bacterium. Its description in RNAcentral is "partial 16S ribosomal RNA". It matches the Rfam family "Bacterial small subunit ribosomal RNA", at positions 28 to 507 of the family's 1533-position model. The record is from RNAcentral.